UUCCUAGCAUGCACAUACACACAAAGGGCAGAGUGAGAACACUGCUUUUGGGUAAAGAUGCAGGAUAUUUCAAGUGUUUUCCUUUAACUGGUGGUAUGACAAGA
RNAcentral lists this small nucleolar RNA (104 nucleotides) under Octodon degus (degu). Lineage: Eukaryota; Metazoa; Chordata; Mammalia; Rodentia; Octodontidae. The record is from RNAcentral.